RNAcentral lists this ribosomal RNA (492 nucleotides) under uncultured bacterium. Its description in RNAcentral is "partial 16S ribosomal RNA". It matches the Rfam family "Bacterial small subunit ribosomal RNA", at positions 29 to 507 of the family's 1533-position model. The record is from RNAcentral.
AGUGAACGCUGGCGGUAGGCCUAACACAUGCAAGUCGAACGGCAGCACAGUAAGAGCUUGCUCUUACGGGUGGCGAGUGGCGGACGGGUGAGGAAUACAUCGGAAUCUACUUUUUCGUGGGGGAUAACGUAGGGAAACUUACGCUAAUACCGCAUACGACCUACGGGUGAAAGCAGGGGAUCUUCGGACCUUGCGCGAUUGAAUGAGCCGAUGUCGGAUUAGCUAGUUGGCGGGUUAAAGGCCCACCAAGGCGACGAUCCGUAGCUGGUCUGAGAGGAUGAUCAGCCACACUGGAACUGAGACACGGUCAAGACUCCUACGGGAGGCAGCAGUGGGGAAUAGUGGACAAUGGGCGCAAGCCUGAUCCAGCCAUACCGCGUGGGUGAAGAAGGCCUUCGGGUUGUAAAGCCCUUUUGUUGGGAAAGAAAAGCAGCAGGUUAAUACCCCGCUGUUCUGACGGUACCCAAAGAAUAAGCACCGGCUAACUUCGUG